Anastrepha ludens (Mexican fruit fly) is the source of this 940-nucleotide long non-coding RNA. RefSeq lists it as uncharacterized. NCBI's taxonomy places the organism in Eukaryota, Metazoa, Arthropoda, Insecta, Diptera, Tephritidae. The record is from RefSeq and is a predicted model, not a curated record. The transcript has 3 exons.
AUUUUUGUUGUCUCUACUAAUGGAGUCUGUUUUUUUGCAUUGACAAGCAGUGAAAAUUAAAAUUGCGGUUGGUUUUCGCAGAGUUUUUCUAAGAUAUUCAGUGCUAAGAAAAUGGACCCGGCAGAUUUCCGAAAAAUCCUGGAAGACGAAGCUGAUAGUAUCAGUGACUCAGAAGACUUCUCUAGGGGAAGUUUCGACAAUUUUCUUCCAAGUGAUUGCACUACUUCCAGUGAUAGCGAAGAUUCAGUUGACGAGGAGAAUGGGGAUGCAGACGAGAGAUUCUUACCUAAUGGUGUCUUGAGCUCUAACAGCGGUAACGAUGAUACUGAAAGCGACAUUGAUGACGUCGCUUCGAACCCCGGCGCAUCGAAAAUAAAUAUUAUUUGGAAUACUCCUGAUGAAAAUUUUGUAUCAAAAAAUACUCUUUAUGGACUUCGGGAUUGCACAAUAUCAAACCACAUACCAAGACAUUCAAGUAUAGAUCAGACACGAUACGAAUGAAGUAUUGGUGUUGAGUAAUUGUCACGAACCUUCUGUGACUAAUGUUACAAAAACGUUGAAAACAGGAGAAAAAAUUCUAGUGCAAUGUCCAAGUCAAAUAAAAUUUUAUAGGGAGAUGAUGGAAGGAGUCGACUUGGCUGAUCAGAUGUCUGGGCUUUAUGAAUACGAUAGGAAAUCGGUUUAUCACUUAUUACACGCAGGCCUACAAAUAAACCAAUUUUUAGAAAAAACUUAAUUAAAGUAAUUUUCGGGCCAUUUGUGAAGGGAAGUUAAAAGCUGAGAUAAAAUAAUACAUUAAAUUUGAUAUUAAAUAAAAUUUUAUGCCGAGGUGGCGAUUUUUAAAGCGUUUAUGGUACUGGUAAAUAUAAUUGUAAAUAAAUAAAAAAAAAAAAAUUAAAAAUAAAAAUCAGUAAAUCCAUAUUUUGGCCGUUGAACAAAU